GACGAACGCUGGCGGCGUGCUUAACACAUGCAAGUCGAGCGGUAAGGCCCUUUCGGGGGUACACGAGCGGCGAACGGGUGAGUAACACGUGGGUGACCUGCCCUUAGCUCUGGGAUAAGCCUGGGAAACUGGGUCUAAUACCGGAUAUGACCCCAUGACGCAUGUUGUGGGGUGGAAAGCCUUGUGCGGCUAGGGAUGGGCCUGCGGCCUAUCAGCUUGUUGGUGGGGUGAUGGCCACCAAGGCGACGACGGGUAGCCGGCCUGAGAGGGCGACCGGCCACACUGGGACUGAGACACGGCCCAGACUCCUACGGGAGGCAGCAGUGGGGAAUCUUGCGCAAUGGGCGAAAGCCUGACGCAGCGACGCCGCGUGGGGAUGAC
RNAcentral lists this ribosomal RNA (381 nucleotides) under uncultured bacterium. RNAcentral's name for it is "bacterial SSU rRNA". It matches the Rfam family "Bacterial small subunit ribosomal RNA", at positions 28 to 412 of the family's 1533-position model. The record is from RNAcentral.